This 497-nucleotide ribosomal RNA is filed under the name uncultured bacterium. RNAcentral describes it as "partial 16S ribosomal RNA". It matches the Rfam family "Bacterial small subunit ribosomal RNA", at positions 28 to 507 of the family's 1533-position model. The record is from RNAcentral.
GAUGAACGCUGGCGGCGUGCCUAAUACAUGCAAGUCGAGCGAACAGACGAGGAGCUUGCUCCUCUGACGUUAGCGGCGGACGGGUGAGUAACACGUGGAUAACCUACCUAUAAGACUGGGAUAACUUCGGGAAACCGGAGCUAAUACCGGAUAAUAUAUUGAACCGCAUGGUUCAAUAGUGAAAGACGGUUUUGCUGUCACUUAUAGAUGGAUCCGCGCCGCAUUAGCUAGUUGGUAAGGUAACGGCUUACCAAGGCGACGAUGCGUAGCCGACCUGAGAGGGGGAACGGCCAAAACGGAACUGAGACAAGGUCCAGACUCCCAAGGGAGGCAGCAGUAGGGAAUCUUCCGCAAUGGGCGAAAGCCUGAAGGAGCAACGCCGCGUGAGGGAUGAAGGUCUUCGGAUCGUAAAACUCUGUUAUUAGGGAAGAACAAAUGGGGAAGUAACUAUGCACGUCUUGAAGGUACCUAAUCAGAAAGCCACGGCUAACUACGUG